Molecule: ribosomal RNA, 253 nt
Filed under: uncultured bacterium
Lineage: Bacteria
Description: partial 16S ribosomal RNA
Rfam family: Bacterial small subunit ribosomal RNA
Source: RNAcentral
UACGGGGGGGGCAAGCGUUGUUCGGAAUUACUGGGCGUAAAGGGUUCGUAGGUGGCCAACUAAGUCAGACGUGAAAUCCCUCAGCUUAACUGGGGAACUGCGUCUGAGACUGGAUGGCUUGAGUGCAGGAGAGGAACGCGGAAUUCCAGGUGUAGCGGUGAAAUGCGUAGAUAUCUGGAGGAACACCGGUGGCGAAGGCGGCGUUCUGGACUGCUACUGACACUGAGGAACGAAAGCCAGGGGAGCAAAUGGG